Molecule: long non-coding RNA, 3154 nt
Filed under: Salvia miltiorrhiza (redroot sage)
Lineage: Eukaryota; Viridiplantae; Streptophyta; Magnoliopsida; Lamiales; Lamiaceae
Description: long non-coding RNA (SMIL_LNC005670)
Source: RNAcentral
ACAUGGCAAUUGCCAAAACGAAGCCUCAAGACAAAUACAUACAAGUAUACAACAACACAAAUAUUAAAAGUGAGAAGUAAACCAAUUUUCAUUAUCAAACUUCGCAGCUAAUCUACAUACAAUAUCCAUAUUUAUACAUAAAUAUACAACAUAAAGAAAGUUAAAAGCCAACACUAAACCAACGCUACAACCAAACUAUCAGCACAGCUGCAGAUAGACCAUCGUCUCUGCCCAAACAAUCCUGCAAAAAAACCCAGAUAGCAAAUAGCAAUCCAACAAUAAAAAAUAUUUCAAAUUUUUACANAAAUAAAUAAACUGAAAAUUCAGAAAAUAAAUAAAUAAACUGAAAACUUAAUAAAUUAGAAAUCAUUUUUCAGAAAAUAAAUAAACUGAAUACUCGAAAAUAAAUAAAUAAAUAGACUGAAAAUUCAGAAAAUAAAUAAAUAAACUGGAAAUAAAUAAAAUAGAAAUAAAUUUUUCAAAAAUAAAUAAAAUGAAAAUUCAAAAAUAAAUAAAUAAAUAAACUUAAAAUUCAGAAAAUAAAUAAAUAAUCUGAAAAAUAAAUAAACUAGAAAUAAAAUUUUCAAAAAAUAAAUAAACUGAAAAAUCGAAAAUAAAUAAAUAUAUAAAACUCAUAAGAAUAAUUUAAUCUGAAUAAUAUCAUGUUGGGGUUCUUUUAUUAUUUUGUAGAAAUAUUGAAUAGAUGUGGGGGUCUUUUUAUAAUUUUAUAUGAAUAUAGGGUAGGCUUGUAAUUAUCAUAAAAGUUUAAUAUGGAGAGUUUGAACAGUUUUGAAAGUAUUUGAUAAUCUGUGGAUUUUUUAAAGUUCGUGGGGAAAAUGGAUUUUAAACAAAGUUCGUUUUUUUUUUUUUAAUUUACGCGCGUCUCCCACACACGACCAUCUUUUCUCUCUUUCAACCCAGGUCUUCGCUAAGACACCGCCUCGCAUUAGGGCGGGUCUCCAGUGCGGGCUGUGCGGCCACCCUCUCAGCGCCUCGGAUCGACGCUCCCUUCGACCCGACGACUGGAGAUGCUCUUAAGAUUGUCUCUAUCGUGUCGUGCCGUGAGAUAUACCAUUAUUCGCAAAAGAUAGUCCUAAAUCAAAAGACAAAAUUAUUUGUUAAUAGUCGAAUUUAUCUAGAUUCCCAUUGUAACGGUCUUGAAUAGAUGUUUACGUAAAUAUUUAAAAUCACUUUUUUUUAAGUUAAUAUUUAAAAUCACUUGUUGUGUAUAUAUAAAUAGGAUAUCACACCUUUAUAUACAUAAAAAUGAAUUGAUAAUUUUUCCAUCAUAAUAACCACAAAUUUUGCUAUAAAUUUAGAAUUACUGAUUACUCCCUUUAUCCCACUCCAAUAGACUCAUUUCUUUUGAACAUGAAGAUUAAAAAAAUGUGAUAUGGUCCAUACCAAUUAAGUACACAUUUUUUAUUCAAAAUGAAAAAUGAGCUUAUUGAAGUGAAAUAUCCUAAAAAAGAAAACAAAGCCUAUUAGAAGGAAGUACUAUAUUUUCUUAUCAACAAUCAUAAAGCAACAUGACAAUUGCCAGAACGAUGCCUCAAGACAAAUACAACAAUACAAAUAUUAAAAGUGAGAAGUAAACCAAUUUUCAUUAUCGAACUUCACAUCUAAUUUACAUAUAAUAUCCAUAUAUAUGUAAAUAUACAACAUAAAGAAAGUUAAAAGCCACCACUAAACCGACGCUACAACCAAACUAUCAACACAGCUGCAGAGAGACCAUCGUCUCUGCCCAAACAAUCCUGCAAAAACACCCAGAUAGGAAAUAGCAAUCCAGCAAUAAAAAAUUACUUCAAAUCGAAAAUACAAGAAAAAAUGUAGGAGGAGACAGGUAGUACGAUGCCAUGGAAAAUAAUAACAUCGAACUGUUUAAUACUACAUAUUUAUCUAUGCUUCGGAAACUAGAACACCCCUCACUUUAAUUGAGAGAGUUCACCAUAUGAAGCAACAAUAAAAAAAAAAGUAGUCAAAAAUCAAGCAUUCGAUACAAAAUUUGUAGAAGCCAAGCCACCAACAGCAAACUGAGAUGAACUCAAAAUAUGCAUCGUUUUCAGCAAAGAAAUAGAGGUGGGCUUAAACUACAAAUCAAUCUACGCUUUCCGUGACACGUUGAUUGGAAUGCCAAUCAACGCAACGCCUAUAGAAAGCAAUAACAAAUAAUUUAUUCAAAAUAUUGAGAUAAUUUACUGGAAAUUUACGAGGUGUUUCCGGGAUCUAGUGAUAUUGAAAUCUCACCGAUCAGGAUAGCCACACAUUUGUUAUUGCGUCCGUGCCAUUACAACUAGAGGAACAGAUUAUCCCCAAGAAUUGGUAAUGGACGCCAAAGUUUGAAUCAUAUGAAACAAUUUCAAACAGAAAAAUGAAGAACAUGGAAAGAUUUUGACAAAUAGAUUUGCUCAGUGGAAGGAGAAGUCGUUAAUUAGUAGGCUCACGGAUCGGAAUCCACUGCCCCAAAACACAGAAUUGUGUCUUAGUCUCAUCAUUGCAGAUCUCAAAUAAUGAACAGAAAAAAAAUGAAUUGAUUGAGGAAAGGCUUCAGUGUGUGUAACAAUCAGAUCAUUGAUUACGAAAUAAUCAUAACCUCACUGAAAUCCGCUAAGAUAAUUAUUUUUUUCAUCAUAAGCCAAAGUAAAAAACUAAAUUAUUAAAAUGAGGAUUUUUCAGGAAAAAUUUGAGAGUGUGCUCAGACAGCCAAGGGUUGUUUCGUCAAAUGCAAGAUCAGAAACUCUAGUCCACGAAAAUUUGCAUCAUCACCACACACGAUUUGAGAGGAGAAAACAAUUGAGAAAAACAAAAUUGAAGACCUAAUUUGGAAACUAAGAUGAAACUUGAAAGUAUGCUCAGACAGCCAAGGGUUGUUUCGUCAACUGCAAGAUCAGAAACUCUAGUCCACGAAAAAUUGCUUCAUCUCCGCAUACAAUUUUGACCGGAAAAACAAAUGUAAAAUAACAAAGCAAACAAAAUUCCAAGCAUUGAAAAUCAAAUUAGAAAACCUUCCGUCGGAUUUGGCAGAUGGCGGAGGAGAGAGGCGGAGCGCGGCGAUGAGGAGAGCAGCUGGAGAUAUCUGAAUUGAAGAGACAUGGAGCUGUAUUUAUGCUUAGAAUUUGAGCUGCUGAGCUCGCUAGGGUUUUGGAUGCGGAAA